GCGCCUGCUCCGGGGUGUGCUGAUGCGCUGAGAUGCAAGGGUCUGAAGGAAUUCAGGCGAGCUUGCGAACCCGACGAACUUGAUCCGGUUCAUACCGGCGGAAGAAGAGCCGACCUCCUUGUC
Molecule: non-coding RNA, 123 nt
Filed under: Acidovorax sp.
Lineage: Bacteria; Pseudomonadati; Pseudomonadota; Betaproteobacteria; Burkholderiales; Comamonadaceae
Description: TPP sequence
Rfam family: TPP riboswitch aptamer (THI element)
About the family: Vitamin B(1) in its active form thiamin pyrophosphate (TPP) is an essential coenzyme that is synthesised by coupling of pyrimidine and thiazole moieties in bacteria. The previously detected thiamin-regulatory element, thi box was extended, resulting in a new, highly conserved RNA secondary structure, the THI element, which is widely distributed in eubacteria and also occurs in some archaea. Analysis of operon structures identified a large number of new candidate thiamin-regulated genes, mostly transporters, in various prokaryotic organisms.
Source: RNAcentral